CUACACUGCAGUCGAGCGGAUGAAUGGAGAUUGCUCCUGGAUUCGGUGACGGACGGACGGGUGAUGCCUACGAAUCUGCCUGGCCUCGGGGGAUAACGUCCGGAAACGAAAGCUAAUAUCGUAUACGUUCUGAGGGAGAAAGUGGGGGAUCUUCGGACCUCACGCUAUCGCUGACCCUAUGUCGGAUUACCUAUUUGGCGGGGUAAAGGCCUACCAAGGCGACCAUCCGUAACUGGACUGAAAGGAUGAUCAAUAGCGCUGGAACUGACACUCGGACCGAAAUCCUACGCGAAGUCCCACUGGGGAAUAUUGGACAAUGUCUUAAACCCUGAUCCAAACAUGCCGCGAGUGUGACCACGGGCUUCAGAUUGGAUUUCACUUUAAGUUGGUAUGAAGGGCAAUAAGAUAAUACCUUGCUGUUUUGACUUUACCAACAGAAUAAGCACCGGCUAACUUCGAGCCAUCACUCGCGGUCAUACGACGGGUGCAUACGUUAAUCGGAAUUACUGUGCGUAUAUAUUGCGUGUGUGGUUCGCGCAGUUGGAUGUUAAAUCCCCGGGCUCAACCUGGGAACUGCCUCCUGUACUACUGUGCUAGAGUACGGAAUAGAGUGGUGGAAUUUACAGUGUAGCGCUUAAAUG
Molecule: ribosomal RNA, 641 nt
Filed under: Pseudomonas aeruginosa
Lineage: Bacteria; Pseudomonadati; Pseudomonadota; Gammaproteobacteria; Pseudomonadales; Pseudomonadaceae
Description: bacterial SSU rRNA
Rfam family: Bacterial small subunit ribosomal RNA
Source: RNAcentral